CGGAUGUCAUGACAUGUUGAAUAAUACAUGAAUUGAAAACACAUGAAUAUGUGAGAAAGGUUGUUUGGCCGAGCUACAAAAAAACAUAAAAAAUCAAGGGUAUGCCAUAGUUGUUAAUAAACCAUUCCCAUGAGGUUGAGUUCAAUGGAUAUUUCCUUAUGGAUUUCAUACAAAGUAGGCGGUAAGGCAAAACUGUGAAGAAUAGAUAGAAUCUUAUAAUGAAAUUAAUUUCUCUCGAUCAACUAUUGAUGGGAGGGUGAUCGAGUAGUGACACCCACAUGGCUUGAUCAUGGGUUCUCAUUCCCCCUUCCGUUCUCUAUCCUCUCGUAUUUCUUUAAGAGUCGCUCCUCCUCCCCCAAAUCAUCUUAUUUCCCUCUCCGGUGGCUUUGUCCGGCCGGAGUGGGGAUGGGAGAGGAGGUCGGACCUCUGUGCGGAGUAGAUCUAGUAGUGGACUAGCCCAUAGGGCGACUGACACUAUCCCGUUAGGAUUCGGUGUUAUGCCGUGGAGGUUGGCUCUGGUGCUCGCGAGCAGCGCCAUCACCUCACCCUCUUCUUCUUUUCAGCUGUUUUCAUGGUCGACGACAAUGGGAGAGGGAAGAUCUUGCGAAAUCUCCAUCAAUAAGCUCGGCAGUUUGCUAGAGUGGGUCGAUCUGGUUUCCCUCACCCCUGUUUCUUGCCUUCAUGGUGGCGGAGGAAGAGAAGAGAGAGAGGAUCCGUGAUUUGGUUUCUCACAUCUGGCAUUCAUCAGGGAUUGCUGUUGGCUUUGGUGCUUCUUCGCUAUCUUUUAUCGCCGCCUCGACCUCCGCAGACCGGAGCCGCAGAUCAACUUGAAGAUAAUCCAGGCGAGCGAUUUAGGUGGCUUGGGUGGUUUGCCGACCUCUUGAGGAUUUGCUGGGUAUUUCCGAGUCUCCUGUAUUCAACCUCCGUAUGGCAGGCACUCCGUUCCUCGUUUAUCAGCAAGUAGUUGGCCGCAGAUGGUGGCAAUGCAUCUCCGACAAGGUUGCUGGUGUAUUCUAGACCCAAUUGCACUCUCGUUCUAUGGAUUUGGGUCCUGAAUGCAAAUCUACAAGGAUUGCUUUGUAUUUUUUAUUUUCUUUUUGAGUCCUUGAUGGAGUGUUGUAACCUUUUUUAUGAUAAUGAAAGCCAGCUGGGACUUUCUGGUCCCUUCCCUUGUUUAAAAUAAAACAUGGCUUGAUCACAAUGUCCUAAUAGGAACGGAUCUCACUGGCCUAAUAAUCUGAAC
This 1243-nucleotide long non-coding RNA is filed under the name Hordeum vulgare. RNAcentral's name for it is "long non-coding RNA (HVUL_LNC016638)". Lineage: Eukaryota; Viridiplantae; Streptophyta; Magnoliopsida; Poales; Poaceae. The record is from RNAcentral.